Molecule: long non-coding RNA, 111 nt
Organism: Gavialis gangeticus (Gharial)
Lineage: Eukaryota; Metazoa; Chordata; Crocodylia; Gavialidae
Exons: 3
Source: RefSeq, a predicted model, not a curated record
CAAAUACAGUUUAUGACGGGGUGGGUAAAAUGAGGCCUGGGGGCCGGAUGUGGCCCACCAGGCCAUUCUAUCCAGCCUGCAGGGCCCCUAAAAAUUUUAGAAAAUUAAUAU